RNAcentral lists this ribosomal RNA (425 nucleotides) under uncultured bacterium. RNAcentral describes it as "partial 16S ribosomal RNA". It matches the Rfam family "Bacterial small subunit ribosomal RNA", at positions 354 to 796 of the family's 1533-position model. The record is from RNAcentral.
GUGGGGAAUCUUAGACAAUGGGCGCAAGCCUGAUCUAGCCAUGCCGCGUGAGCGAUGAAGGCCUUAGGGUUGUAAAGCUCUUUCAGGGGGGAAGAUAAUGACGGUACCCCCAGAAGAAGCCCCGGCUAACUCCGUGCCAGCAGCCGCGGUAAUACGGAGGGGGCUAGCGUUGUUCGGAAUUACUGGGCGUAAAGCGCACGUAGGCGGACCAGAAAGUCAGGGGUGAAAUCCCGGGGCUCAACCCCGGAACUGCCUUUGAAACUCCUGGUCUUGAGGUCGAGAGAGGUGAGUGGAAUUCCGAGUGUAGAGGUGAAAUUCGUAGAUAUUCGGAGGAACACCAGUGGCGAAGGCGGCUCACUGGCUCGAUACUGACGCUGAGGUGCGAAAGCGUGGGGAGCAAAUGGGAUUAGAAACCCUGGUAGUCC